CUACUGAACAACAGAUUCCUGACUAAGGACAGGUGCAAACAAAUGCAGUUAGGUUAGCGUGUAUAUACGUACCAUAGACUCAAUAUAAAAUAUAAACACGAUUUUGACACAAUAUUGUUACAUUGCUAUGUGAACAAUUUAAACAGAAAAGUAUAUAUAAAAAGGAGAGGUGGUAUGAUUGCAAAUAAGUCAAAUUUCCAGUACAUACAUACUAAAUGGCACAUCUAUAGAUAACCGUAUGGUCUUUAACAUUGUGCAAAGUUUAUAUCGCAUAGUUAACAAUAAAAGACGCCGACAUGACAAAUGGAAAACAAUUUAAACUAUAUAACUAACUGUUUAACUUAUUUAAAAACAAAA
This 357-nucleotide long non-coding RNA is filed under the name Mytilus galloprovincialis (Mediterranean mussel). Lineage: Eukaryota; Metazoa; Mollusca; Bivalvia; Mytilida; Mytilidae. The record is from RNAcentral.